GAACUUGUUAGAAAAUAAAAUAAAAUGAAGGUUGCAAAGAUUGGGAUUGCAAGAGCUCUUGUGGAAUCAUUACAUGGAGGCCUUACUUCUUCUAGUUUAGUUUCAACAAGCAUUGCUUUAAAAGUUGUUGCUGUCAAUGUAAGUUCUAAAUAAAGCUUCUAAAUUAACUAAUAGACAUUGAAGCUUUUUUCCCUUAGAUGUUAAAACAAAUUAAAAAGAAAAAACCAGCAGGCUGCAGCAACAAUACAUGAAGCAUCAAUCAUUCAAUUAAAUCUUGAAACUUAUUCCAGUAAAAAAAUAAAUAAAUAAAUA
RNAcentral lists this unclassified non-coding RNA (312 nucleotides) under Hevea brasiliensis (rubber tree). Lineage: Eukaryota; Viridiplantae; Streptophyta; Magnoliopsida; Malpighiales; Euphorbiaceae. The record is from RNAcentral.